GUCUGUUUUUGAUCCAUGUGCGCAAUGGCAAAUUUCAGGUUAUUCGUCAAAUACCCAAGGUUUCUAUUUCUCUGAUUAAUGCAGUUUAUUUGACAGAUGUGUAAUGCUGUUUGUUGAAAAAUGCAUUAGAACCAAUGAUGGUAAGAUCUUGGCCUAGCAAAUUGGUAAAAUAUUACCUGCUCUUAAUUACUGAAUCAUAUUGUAGGAUAAAAUCUGCUGUUUAUGUAUGAAAAUUUGUACUUUAUCUCUGAUUAUGUGGUAUAUGCCCAGAAUUUCAUUAUUAAUGAUCGAUUCAUUAAAAUUAUUUUUAAUUGUCUACUUUGUUUUGUGUUGCUGCUGCUCAUUCUGCAUUUUUUUUUUUUUGGGGGGGGAGUAGAUAUAAAAAUUAAUUCUUGUUUUUUCUUUUUUUUCCCUCCAUGUCUCUUUUUAUUGUGCUAGUAAAUUUCUGACUGAACUCAUUUCAAGUUGAAUGUGGUAUUUUCUUUAGCUCAUGUAGAGAUUCAUCAAGUUUUUGCUGGUAAAUUUUUGACAAAAUUUCAAGUAAAUGUGCCGUUUUUACUUAGUUUGCAUAAAAAUUGUUCUUCUUUAUGCCUCUUUUGAAUAAAUAUGUCAAUUCUUGUUUGUAUUAUUUAAUAUCUUGUUUUGCAUAUUAAUACA
Stegodyphus dumicola is the source of this 657-nucleotide long non-coding RNA. Lineage: Eukaryota; Metazoa; Arthropoda; Arachnida; Araneae; Eresidae. The record is from RefSeq and is a predicted model, not a curated record.